AGAGUUUGAUCAUGGCUCAGGAUGAACGCUAGCUACAGGCUUAACACAUGCAAGUCGAGGGGAAACGAUAUUGGAAGCUUGCUUCCGAUAGGCGUCGACCGGCGCACGGGUGAGUAACGCGUAUCCAACCUGCCCACCACUUGGGGAUAACCUUGCGAAAGUAAGACUAAUACCCAAUGAUAUCUCUAGAAGACAUCUGAAAGAGAUUAAAGAUUUAUCGGUGAUGGAUGGGGAUGCGUCUGAUUAGCUUGUUGGCGGGGUAACGGCCACCAAGGCGACGAUCAGUAGGGGUUCUGAGAGGAACGGUCCCCCACAUUGGAACUGAGACACGGUCCAAACUCCGUACGGAGGCA
RNAcentral lists this ribosomal RNA (353 nucleotides) under uncultured bacterium. RNAcentral's name for it is "bacterial SSU rRNA". It matches the Rfam family "Bacterial small subunit ribosomal RNA", at positions 8 to 350 of the family's 1533-position model. The record is from RNAcentral.